UUGACAUUUUGUUAAUUCGUUUAUUAAUGGCUGAAAUGAUUACCGACUCUCUUUCAGCUGCCAACUAUGUGGCUAUCUCCAAGCUUUGCAGACAUCACCAUCAGUUGUUGCUGCUGGAUUGGUUAUUGAUUAUCUUAUUAUAUCGCCAGCAACACAACUGUGAGAUUAAUUGAUACGUGGUUAUGCAAGGCUGCCAUGACUCCAACUCCGCCAUUUGGACUCAUAAGGACGAUUCAAGGUAAGUAAUCUAAUCCAUUAGUUAUGGUAUGUUACAUGCUAUUUCUAACACAUUAAACCUAUUUCUACAAAUAUCAGCUCUCUCAUCUCUUUCCCUCUUUUAGUUCUCCAUACACACACUCUCUAUUUCAAUGAGUAUUGUUGCAGCUGUACGAAAAGUAAAGAUCAAAUUUAGUAGUUAGAAAUAAUGAAUCUUUCCCUCCCUGUAUGUGUAAACUCUCCAUUUCACCUUUAUUUUCUGGAUUUCUCCUUCUUAUAUCAAUAACAAUAAUUUUCCGGUUUUCUCAGUGUUUGCUGUUUAGAAAAUUAUUGCGGAAACUAUAUUUUUUGUUCUCAGAUAAAGCGGUAAAAGUUAUUGGAAAGAUUAGUCAACGCUUGGCCUAAAUAAAGUUACUAAUUCUACCGUUCUACUACAAGGACAUGUUAGUUGUCAUGAUUAUUGGUAAGUACUAUUUGGACACAAUUUUUUCUCAAAUCUCACACACUAAGGAGCACAUGCCUUUCAAUUAAACACAUCCUUUCAAUAACCUUUACUUUUAACAAAAGUCUGUAGUGAAAUUAACUACAAAUUGCCCUCAUCCUGGAAUAACCAUAUUCAAACUUAAUCAUCAUAUAGCUGUUGUUGAGGAUAAUUGUAAAAUUCUCUUUUACUCCUUUUUCCAUAAGGUAACUCAUAGUUGAUUAAGUGCCCGUUAAAAUUCUCUUUUAUUCCUUUAUCUAUAAGGUAACUCAUACUUGAUUAAGUGCCCAUUUAGAUUGACUUGUUUUAGGUGUUUUAAAGCAAAAUGCUUAUAAGAACUUAUUUCUAAGUCAAAAUAACAAAAUUAAGCCAAAGUCAAUCCAAACAGGCUUUAUAUCUUCUUUGUUUUACCCCUCCAUAGUUCCCUAAUCCUUUUUGCUUUUCAUUAUAGGAUAAAUACUAGAGCUACCAUUCUUUAAACUCACCGGUUUAAAGAAAAAAGUAGUUUAAUUUGAGAAGAAAUGAAACUACGUAGCACAAGAAAAAUGGAAAAGUUGUAUGUCUGCUCAUUACAAUGAUCUCCGAGAUAAUGAUACUUUAUGCCCAAUCAGUUCUUGGAUGAUCUGCAGAAUAUCCUUAUAUGUGAGGGAAAGAACACGCAAAAAAUUAUCUUACACAAAUUAGUUUCCCAAUAAGUAUUGAGUUAAGCAUUUGACAGAUUUUACUAAAUGAAUUUUAGAAACUAAUACUCUUCUUAGAAUAAGUCUAUCUAACCAAAGACAACAUAGUUGUCAACAAGUAGAAGCGUGGUUGUGGAAAUUUGAAGGGGAGAAGAAAAACUUCUUAGAACAAUAUAAAAGUGCUCUUCUAGGCUACAACAAUUAUAUUUAUAAAAAGAAAAAUUCAUAGAGUGUCCCCUACUUUUCAUAACAUGUGUUAUGUUAGAUGGAUAUCACUUUCAAUUUUUUUGGUAUAAUGUGCUUCAUUAGUUCUUUUCAAUUUCUCAUUGUGGCUUUUGUUUAGCGUAAUAUACAUGCUUAACCUGCCUUGAGUAGAAGAAAGAGUUGUACUAUAAAGUUCAGUGGUUUCAUUAAAUAUCAUUGAACUUUAAUAGAUCAUUGAUGAAACAUAGGAGGUGAUUUCAAUUGUUGUAGUAGGAAUGUUAAUCUUUGUGAUGAAAUUUAAUAAACACAACUGAAAGUUCUCAAGAGAAGUACAAUAAAAAACUUUCUUUUUCAUUGUUUCGGCCAACUACAUUUACUAUUGAUGUUGGAUAGCUUUUAUUAUUUACAAUUUGUAGUAUCAAGUUCAGAGCACCUUACUUGAAGUAGGAUUAUAGUGUUGAGUUUGGAGUACGUUUUUAUUGUAAUUUGAUUUUUUUUUAUCUUUUCAAGUACACAGAAAGUGUAUAUUGACACCUCCUUUUCUAUGAUGUUUUCUUAAAAUAGAUAAAGUAUUGUGUAUUAUAAUCGCAAAACUAAAACCUCAUAUUGUUCAACUGCCACAAUUGUUUCAUUUGGCCAAGUUUGAGAUCUACUGAUUUUAUAGCAACAAAUUUGUGAUAUGCAUACUGCAAG
This 2274-nucleotide long non-coding RNA is filed under the name Solanum tuberosum (potato). RNAcentral's name for it is "long non-coding RNA (STUB_LNC010644)". Lineage: Eukaryota; Viridiplantae; Streptophyta; Magnoliopsida; Solanales; Solanaceae. The record is from RNAcentral.